This 1870-nucleotide long non-coding RNA is filed under the name Marmota monax (woodchuck). The stretch from base 363 to 432 matches the Rfam family "tRNA". The record is from RNAcentral. Lineage: Eukaryota; Metazoa; Chordata; Mammalia; Rodentia; Sciuridae.
AGCCUCCCAAAUCACUGGGAUUACAGGCAUGCACCACAGUGCCUGGCUAGACAUUUAAUCCCUGCAAUAAUCUUACCUGGUAAACUCAGACUGUUCAAAGUCAUGCAGUUAGGAUAUGGUAGAGCUGGGAUUUGAAAGCAAUCUCUAUGAUUCUUAAAUAUGUCUAAAGACAUAUCUACUGUCUUCUAGGUCUUUGACCUUCUCAAACACCUGCUUUUUCUUAAUAUUUAUUUAUUUGAAAAAAUUUUAUGGAAUGCUUUGCACUAUGUGAAGCGCUGAGGAUGUAAAGAUGAAAACCUGGUGCUAUCCUUAAAACCUGUGGCUUGAAGGGAAAGACAUCUAGGAAAAUAGAUCCCAGGGCUGGGGAUAUAGCUCAGUUGGUAGAGUGCUUGCCUCGCAUGCACAAGGCCCUGGGUUCAAUCCCCAGCACCACACACAAAAAAAGAGAUUCCAGCCAGCUGUGGUAGCACAGGCCUGGAGUCCCAACGACUCAGAAGGCUGAGGCAGGAGAAUUUUAAGUCCAAAGCCAGCCUCAGCAAUUUAGCCAGACCCUAAGCAACUUACGGAGACCCUGUUUCAAAAAAUAAAAAGGGCUAAGGCUGAGGAUGUGGCUCAGUGGGUAAGUACCCCUGGGUUCAUUCCCCUAUACCAACCAAAAUAAAAUAAAACAAAUAUAAAUAAAUAUAGAGAUUUAUUAUUAGGGAUUGGCUCACCUGAUUAUGAUAGCUAAGAAGUCACAAUCUGCAGUCUGCAAACUGGAGACCAAGGUAGUUGGUGGGACAGUUCCAGUCCAAACCCAAAGGCCCAAAAACCCCAGGGACCAACGGUCUAAGUUCCAGUUGGAGUUGAAGGUCUGAGAACUGUCCCAGGGCCGGAGAUCGGAGGUGCCAGCUGAAGCAGACAGGGAGUUCUUUCUUCCUCUGCCUUUUUGUCCUACUCAGGCACUCAGUGGACCGGUGGAUGCCCGCUCAUGUUGGUGGGGCAAUCUUUAAGACCAUCUAGGGAUUCUAAUGCUGAUUUCUCCCGGAAACACUCUCACAGAUACACCCAGAUACAAUGUUUUACCAACUAUUUGAAUAUCCCUUAGGCCAGUUAGGUUGACACACAGAUUCAUUAACACACUCUCCUUUCUCAGUCUCCCCUAAGUCAAUCUUUCAGGCUGCUGAGCUGGUCUUACCCUGACUCUUAUCUGAGGAACUUUUGACAGCAAAGGCUCCUGCCAACAGGGAGCAUCCCACUGCCCUUGGAGAAGAUCCUGACAUGAUGAAGAUGGUGCACAGGACCAACCUGAAAUGUCAGCUAACCAAGUCAAGAAGCAAAAAGUGGCAGGACACAGCAGAGCACAUUUGUAAUUCCAGCACACAGGAGGCUGAGGCAGGAGGAUUAAAAAUUCCAAGCCAGCUUGGGCAAUUUAGGAAGACCCUGUCUCAAAAUAAAAAAUAAUUAGAAGUGGAGAUGUAACUCAGUGGUAGAGCACCCUAGGUUCAAUCCCCAGUACAGAAAAAAAAAAAAAAAAAGAGGUAUUAUGACCCAUGGUAGGCACAAUACCCUGCAAACCACUUUGCUCCUCCCCAUCAUGCUGAGAGCCAGGUAAUAAUAUUCCUGUUUGUGAAAUGAGGAAACAAAAUGUCAGAUAGACUAAGUAAUUAUUCAGAGGUCACACAUCUGUAAAUUGACCCCACGUUGUUUGAAUUCAAAUGUCACAGGUGAUUUAUUUGGUCAGGCUUAUUUCCUUUCUUCCUGAACUAGAUCAUAAUUCAGAUCUGUGUCGUUUUAGGCCCUUUACAACAUGUCCUCGCCCAAGCCUAUCAAUGCACCUUACAUCAAAAAGGAAACAAAGAAAUCUAUUAAAUAAACAAAUGAAUCAUCA